Molecule: non-coding RNA, 31 nt
Filed under: Homo sapiens (human)
Lineage: Eukaryota; Metazoa; Chordata; Mammalia; Primates; Hominidae
Source: RNAcentral
UCCCCAACAUAAACUAAGGUGCUGCAUGCCC